This 194-nucleotide ribosomal RNA is filed under the name uncultured eukaryote. RNAcentral's name for it is "partial 18S ribosomal RNA". It matches the Rfam family "Eukaryotic small subunit ribosomal RNA", at positions 1 to 191 of the family's 1831-position model. The record is from RNAcentral.
GUAACCUGGUUGAUCCUGCCAGUAGUCAUAUGCUUGUCUCAAAGAUUAAGCCAUGCAUGUCUAAGUGUAAAUAAGUCCACACUGUGAAACUGCGAAUGGCUCAUUAAAUCAGUUAUCGUUUACUUGAUGAUCUCUUAUUACUUGGAUAACCGUAGUAAUUCUAGAGCUAAUACAUGCACACAAUCCUGACUUCU